RNAcentral lists this ribosomal RNA (492 nucleotides) under uncultured bacterium. RNAcentral describes it as "partial 16S ribosomal RNA". It matches the Rfam family "Bacterial small subunit ribosomal RNA", at positions 29 to 507 of the family's 1533-position model. The record is from RNAcentral.
AGUGAACGCUGGCGGUAGGCCUAACACAUGCGAGUCGAACGGCAGCACAGUAAGAGCUUGCUCUUACGGGUGGCGAGUGGCGGACGGGUGAGGAAUACAUCGGAAUCUACUUUUUCGUGGGGGAUAACGUAGGGAAACUUACGCUAAUACCGCAUACGACCUACGGGUGAAAGCAGGGGAUCUUCGGACCUUGCGCGACUGAAUGAGCCGAUGUCGGAUUAGCUAGUUGGCGGGGUAAAGGCCCACCAAGGCAACGAUCCGUAGCUGGUCUGAGAGGAUGAUCAGCCACACUGGAACUGAGACACGGUCCAGACUCCUACGGGAGGCAGCAGUGGGGAAUAUUGGACAAUGGGCGCAAGCCUGAUCCAGCCAUACCGCGUGGGUGAAGAAGGCCUUCGGGUUGUAAAGCCCUUUUGUUGGGAAAGAAAAGCAGCAGGUUAAUACCCCGCUGUUCUGACGGUACCCAAAGAAUAAGCACCGGCUAACUUCGUG